ACGCUCGACACCUACGGGAGCAGCAGUUGGGAAUAUUGGACAAUGGAGGAAACUCUGAUCCAGUGACGCCGCGUGAAGGAAGAAGGUCUUCGGAUUGUAAACUUAUUUUGUCAGGGAAGAAAAAUGACUGUACCUGAAGAAAAAGCACCGGCUAACUACGUGCCUGCAGCCGCGGUAAUCUGAGCGGGCUGGCAAGGC
This 198-nucleotide ribosomal RNA is filed under the name uncultured bacterium. RNAcentral describes it as "partial 16S ribosomal RNA". It matches the Rfam family "Bacterial small subunit ribosomal RNA", at positions 328 to 539 of the family's 1533-position model. The record is from RNAcentral.